Molecule: ribosomal RNA, 551 nt
Filed under: uncultured bacterium
Lineage: Bacteria
Description: bacterial SSU rRNA
Rfam family: Bacterial small subunit ribosomal RNA
Source: RNAcentral
AAUAGAUACCCGGGUAGUCCACGCCGUAAACGAUGAGUGCUAAGUGUUGGGGGGUUUCCGCCCCUCAGUGCUGCAGCUAACGCAUUAAGCACUCCGCCUGGGGAGUACGGUCGCAAGACUGAAACUCAAAGGAAUUGACGGGGGCCCGCACAAGCGGUGGAGCAUGUGGUUUAAUUCGAAGCAACGCGAAGAACCUUACCAGGUCUUGACAUCCCGGUGACCACUAUGGAGACAUAGUUUCCCCUUCGGGGGCAACGGUGACAGGUGGUGCAUGGUUGUCGUCAGCUCGUGUCGUGAGAUGUUGGGUUAAGUCCCGCAACGAGCGCAACCCUUAUUCUUAGUUGCCAUCAUUCAGUUGGGCACUCUAAGGAGACUGCCGGUGAUAAACCGGAGGAAGGUGGGGAUGACGUCAAAUCAUCAUGCCCCUUAUGACCUGGGCUACACACGUGCUACAAUGGACGGUACAAACGGUUGCCAACCCGCGAGGGGGAGCCAAUCCGAUAAAACCGUUCCAGUUCGGAUUGUAGGCUGCAACUCGCUACAUGAAGCCG